This is a non-coding RNA of Podarcis lilfordi (Lilford's wall lizard), 73 nucleotides long. The record is from the annotation of a GenBank genome assembly. Lineage: Eukaryota; Metazoa; Chordata; Lepidosauria; Squamata; Lacertidae.
GCCAGGAUAGCUGAGUCGGCAGAGCAGGAGACUCUUAAACCCAUGGUCGUGGGUUCGAGCCCCGCGUUGGGCA